GAUGAAGAACGCAGCGAAAUGCGAUUAGUAGUAUGAAUUGCAGAAUUCAGUGAAUCAUCGAAUCUUUGAACGCACAUUGCGCCCCUUGGUAUCCCGAGGGGCAUGCCUGUUCGAGCGUCAUUUCACCACUCAAGCCUGGCUUGGUGUUGGGCGACGUCCUCUUUGGGGACGCGCCUCGAAACGCUCGGCGGCGUGGCACCGGCUUUAAGCGUAGCAGAAUCUUUCGCUUUGGAAGUCGGGGCCCCGUCUGCCGGAAGACCUGCUCGCAAGGUUGACCUCGGAUCAGGCAGGGAUACCCGCUGAACUUAAGCAUAUCAAUAAGCGGAGGA
RNAcentral lists this unclassified non-coding RNA (329 nucleotides) under soil metagenome. RNAcentral's name for it is "partial contains 5.8S ribosomal RNA, internal transcribed spacer 2, and large subunit ribosomal RNA". The stretch from base 1 to 120 matches the Rfam family "5.8S ribosomal RNA", at positions 35 to 154 of the family's 154-position model. The record is from RNAcentral.